AACGAACGCUGGCGGCAGGCCUAACACAUGCAAGUCGAGCGCCCCGCAAGGGGAGCGGCGGACGGGUGAGUAACGCGUGGGAAUUUUCCUCAAGGUACGGAACAACUCAGGGAAACUUGGGCUAAUACCGUAUGAUGUCUAGCGACCAAAGAUUUAUCGCCUUGGGAUAAGCCCGCGUCAGAUUAGGUAGUUGGUGGGGUAACGGCCCACCAAGCCUGCGAUCUGUAGCUGGUCUGAGAGGACGAUCAGCCACACUGGGACUGAGACACGGCCCAGACUCCUACGGGAGGCAGCAGUGGGGAAUCUUGCGCAAUGGGCGAAAGCCUGACGCAGCCAUGCCGCGUGAAUGAUGAAGGUCUUAGGAUUGUAAAGUUCUUUCGCCCGUGACGAUGAUGACGGUAAC
Molecule: ribosomal RNA, 403 nt
Filed under: uncultured bacterium
Lineage: Bacteria
Description: bacterial SSU rRNA
Rfam family: Bacterial small subunit ribosomal RNA
Source: RNAcentral